GCGGCUGUGCUGGAACUGGUAGACUGGCAAGCUUGAGGUGCUUGUGUCCAUAUGGGCGUGCGGGUUCGACUCCCGCCAGCCGCACCA
Molecule: transfer RNA, 87 nt
Filed under: Intestinimonas butyriciproducens
Lineage: Bacteria; Bacillati; Bacillota; Clostridia; Eubacteriales
Description: tRNA-Leu
Rfam family: tRNA
About the family: Transfer RNA (tRNA) molecules are approximately 80 nucleotides in length. Their secondary structure includes four short double-helical elements and three loops (D, anti-codon, and T loops).
Source: RNAcentral